CGGGGUAUAGCUCAGUCCGGUAUGAGUGCUUGUAUGGGGUGCAAGAGGUCGCUGGUUCGAAUCCAGUUGCCCCGA
Molecule: transfer RNA, 75 nt
Filed under: Bacteroidales bacterium
Lineage: Bacteria; Pseudomonadati; Bacteroidota; Bacteroidia; Bacteroidales
Also listed under: 1 other name
Description: tRNA-Pro
Rfam family: tRNA
About the family: Transfer RNA (tRNA) molecules are approximately 80 nucleotides in length. Their secondary structure includes four short double-helical elements and three loops (D, anti-codon, and T loops). Further hydrogen bonds mediate the characteristic L-shaped molecular structure. tRNAs have two regions of fundamental functional importance: the anti-codon, which is responsible for specific mRNA codon recognition, and the 3' end, to which the tRNAs corresponding amino acid is attached (by aminoacyl-tRNA synthetases). tRNAs cope with the degeneracy of the genetic code in two manners: having more than one tRNA (with a specific anti-codon) for a particular amino acid; and 'wobble' base-pairing, i.e. permitting non-standard base-pairing at the 3rd anti-codon position.
Source: RNAcentral